Molecule: non-coding RNA, 495 nt
Organism: Suncus etruscus (white-toothed pygmy shrew)
Lineage: Eukaryota; Metazoa; Chordata; Mammalia; Eulipotyphla; Soricidae
Source: the annotation of a RefSeq genome assembly
AUGGUCUUAGCUGUCAAAGGAUACACAGUGGACAUGAGGGUCCCAGUGCAGUUCCUCAGCUUCCUGCUGUUCUGGAUCUCAAGUGCAAGGGGAAAUAUUCAGAUGACCCAGUCUCCAUCUAUGUCUGCAUCUUUGGGAGAGAAAGUCUCCAUCUCCUGUAAGGCCAGUCAAGACGUUAACAGUUAUUUGAACUGGUAUCAGCAGAAACCAGGGGAAGCUCCUAGACUACUGAUCAAAUAUAUAUCCAACAUGCACUCUGGGGUCCCUUCCCGAUUCAGUGGCACUGGAUCUGGCAAAGAUUUCCAUCUCACCAUCAACAACCUAAUGUCUGAAGAUGUUGCCACUUAUUACUGUGAGCAGCGUCUGAGUUAUCCUACCACAGUAAUACAGGCCAUAACAAAAACCCCAGGGAUGAGCUGUAUGACUGUGCAGCUGCAGCUUCUCCUGCUGGUGCCUCCAGAUGCUGAGAAAGUGUCAUAUGCAGCCUCAUUGUGA